RNAcentral lists this long non-coding RNA (1083 nucleotides) under Olea europaea subsp. europaea. Lineage: Eukaryota; Viridiplantae; Streptophyta; Magnoliopsida; Lamiales; Oleaceae. The record is from RNAcentral.
GAUCGCCAUGGUCAUGGGAGUAAGCUGGAUUUCCAUUUUGUUGAGAACACAAAUAAUGUACAAUCGCGCUAUUUGUAUGCUCUGCUUUGCUGGCGACACAUGACAUGGCAGGUGGAAAGGAAUUCAAAUUUUAAAACAAUACGCUGGGUGGAAACUUGACCCGGCCCCUUGAACCGGCCCAAUUAUAAAGAAAAAAUUCUUCAUUUCCCCCCAAACCGGAGAAACCCUUGGAGGCGAAACGUAGUUCGAAGUCCAACACUCCUCCACCUCGACCGGAAUUUCAUCGCCUCCAACGGAAUCUCACUGCAAACUUUCAUUUUCACUUUUCCCCAAACCAAGAAAACCCUAGAGGCGAAAACUUUGGUUGAAAUCCAGCGCUCCUCCAUCUCAACCGAAGUAAGAAGCCGGUGGAAAUUUGUCCUUUUAAACACCAUCUAUCGCCUCCGGCGGAAUUUCUUGGUAAGCAUGAUGUGUAUCCAUUUUCCUCGAUUUUACUGUUUUCGAAAAAUACAAUCGUUUGAAGAUUUUGCAGUGGUUUGUGGUUGUUGUGUACUGCAGCGUAAUAUGUUGUUGAAAUGUCGGAGAUAGAUAAUGUAUAGUAAGCAGCAACGAGCUGAUGAUCAACAAGAAGAUAGCCAUCAGACGAAACAUGAUGAUGCAGGGUAGAAACCUCAUUGAAGACCAUUCUGUCACACAACAUUUUUUUUCCCUUUUCUGUUAGAUUCUGUUGUAUAGCAUUUUUUUCAGCCAAUCAGUUCAAUUUGUGUAAAUAUUCUAGAUCCUUCUGUAUAUAUACGUGUGGAGUUGAACAAUUGUAACAAGAAGAAAUUAUUUUCAAUAAAAUUAUUCUUCCAGUAUACAUCUGGUUCUUUUUAUUCUCCCUUUUGCAAAGGGAGCAAUCCAUUCCUUUGUUUUCUUAUAUAUGUUGUUUGUUCGUGUGCAAUAUGCCAGGGAAGAACUCCAGAGUACGUCAUAGUUGUCGCGAGAAGGGUCACUUCUUUGCGGACUCCUCGAAAAAACGGCACUGCCCUUGUCAUCAGUUUUGCUUCCUACCACUUUUGAUGUGUAGUAUGUGUUCCGUUA